UUUUAUUUGAGAGUUUGAUCCUGGCUCAGGAUGAACGCUGGCGGCGUGCCUAACACAUGCAAGUUGAGCGAUUUACUUCGGUAAAGAGCGGCGGACGGGUGAGUAACGCGUGGGUAACCUACCCUGUACACACGGAUAACAUACCGAAAGGUAUGCUAAUACGGGAUAAUAUAUUUGAGAGGCAUCUCUUGAAUAUCAAAGGUGAGCCAGUACAGGAUGGACCCGCGUCUGAUUAGCUAGUUGGUAAGGUAACGGCUUACCAAGGCGACGAUCAGUAGCCGACCUGAGAGGGUGAUCGGCCACAUUGGAACUGAGACACGGUCCAAACUCCUACGGGAGGCAGCAG
RNAcentral lists this ribosomal RNA (346 nucleotides) under Clostridioides difficile. RNAcentral's name for it is "bacterial SSU rRNA". It matches the Rfam family "Bacterial small subunit ribosomal RNA", at positions 1 to 354 of the family's 1533-position model. Lineage: Bacteria; Bacillati; Bacillota; Clostridia; Peptostreptococcales; Peptostreptococcaceae. The record is from RNAcentral.